AAAUAAUGCGUGUUGUCUUUUCUCGCAGACCUCUCUCCAGACGACGACAGCCUUCAGAGAAAACCCUCGUACACUGCAAGGCUGUAAACACGAGGCAAGUUCUUCUAGAGGGGAAACACACAACUCCUCUACAGGACAAGGAGGCUUAGUUUGAGGAAAGCCAUAAUAUUCGAGUUAAUCCACAGACGAAACGUCCGCCAACCCACCUGGAAAACAAAGUGGAGCAUCAACCCCACGGUGCAGUCAGGGAGACAAGUUCUGCCACGCUCUUAUCUGUCACACUGGCUGCUAUCUCUCUCUCCCCUUCCCGUUUGCCUCUUGAUAUGCUCUCUCUCCAGCACUGGG
This is a long non-coding RNA of Sebastes umbrosus (honeycomb rockfish), 345 nucleotides long. RefSeq lists it as uncharacterized. The record is from RefSeq and is a predicted model, not a curated record. The transcript is spliced from 3 exons. Lineage: Eukaryota; Metazoa; Chordata; Actinopteri; Perciformes; Sebastidae.